CUACGGGUCGCUCCAGCAGGGAAUAUUGCACAAUGGACGGAAGUCUGAUGCAGCGACGCCGCGUGGAUGAUGAAGGCCCUCGGGUUGUAAAAUCCUUUUCAGGGGGACGAGGAAGGACGGUACCCUUGGAAUAAGCGUCGGCUAACUACGUGCCAGCAGCCGCGGUAAGACGUAGGACGCAGGCGUUAUCCGGAUUUACUGGGCGUAAAGCGUCUGUAGGAGGAAUGGUAAGUUGGACGUGAAAGCUCCGGGCUCAACCCGGAGAGGUCGUUCAAUACUGCCAAACUAGAGGGCAUCAGAGGAGCGUGGAAUUUCCGGUGUAGCGGUAAAAUGCGCAGAUAUCGGAAGGAACACCAAUGGCGAAGGCAGCGCUCUGGGAUGAACCUGACGCUAAGAGACGAAAGCUAGGGGAGCGAACAGGAUUAGAUACCCUGGUAGUC
RNAcentral lists this ribosomal RNA (440 nucleotides) under uncultured bacterium. Its description in RNAcentral is "partial 16S ribosomal RNA". It matches the Rfam family "Bacterial small subunit ribosomal RNA", at positions 339 to 795 of the family's 1533-position model. The record is from RNAcentral.